AUUCCAUGAUGUGGACACUUUCUGAUCAAAUCCUUAAAUCUUUCCCAUGCAUCAUACAAAGUUCACCCUCCAACUUGUAGAAAUUAUUGAUCUCUCCUCUCAACUU
Molecule: small nucleolar RNA, 106 nt
Organism: Humulus lupulus (European hop)
Lineage: Eukaryota; Viridiplantae; Streptophyta; Magnoliopsida; Rosales; Cannabaceae
Source: RefSeq, a predicted model, not a curated record